This 16906-nucleotide long non-coding RNA is filed under the name Nicotiana tabacum (common tobacco). RNAcentral describes it as "long non-coding RNA (NTAB_LNC017271)". Lineage: Eukaryota; Viridiplantae; Streptophyta; Magnoliopsida; Solanales; Solanaceae. The record is from RNAcentral.
UUUAAAGUUGGGAGCCUCAUUUCUACAUUCUUUCUGAGGCCAACAAAUGAAAAAAGAUGAGUAAGCUCGAGAAAGUGGCCCGAAUGAUAACCAUUCAAGAAGAGAACCUUACCAUGAUUGCGGGCCUCGACGCUUGGGUUAUAGCUGCAACAUCAAAAAAACUUUAGAUAAGGAAAAAAGAUAAGAGGUAAAACAAUAGAAUUGGAGAAACAAAAUACUACUCAUGGUUCAUGUUCCAUUUCUCCAGAAAUGGCAUGUCUUCAACAAGGAUCAGGUCCGAAGUUCUUACUCGGACAAAUGAGCCCAUCCAACCUUAGUUGUGAGACUCAUCUAUGCUCAAGAAUGGGGCCUUGAUGGCUCGACAAUCAAUCUUGAUCAGCCCUCCUCGAUAAAGUAGGGGACUGUAAAGGCGCAUAAGGAUCGGUGUGAAAGGACAUCCCUCGAUUUUUCUUGUGAAGAAACAGAGGAGAAUAACUAUUCUCCAGAAUGAAGGUUAGAUUUGGCUGAGAGUGACAUUGUACCUCUUGCAAAAGGAAAUGAUGAUGGGGUCUAAGGGACCUAUCAUGAAGGGGAAAGUGUAAACGCUUAGAUACGCCUCCACGUAAGUGGUGUUCGAUUCCUCAGGAGAAGGAACUACAACAUCCUGUUCACCGAGUUACACUCUAAUCUUUUCGAGGAUGUCUUCGGUUAUCGUGCAUAUGUAUCUCGAGACCGGUUCACACCGAUCGGGUACUGAAGAGGAGUAUUCAAUCCCAAAAUCAGCGACAGUAGGGCACCCUCCUGGAACAAAAUCCUCAAGAGGGGUUCCGCCUUAGCUCCGUCAUCGACGGGCCGUGAAGAGGAGACAGUCUCCUUUUGCGGUACGGUUUUAGAAGUUUUUGCCAUUGUAAAAUAAAAGGGAAGGAAAUUAGAAUGAUGUGUGAUUUUCUUGAGAUUCAUGAAAUUUGGGAGCAAGAGUUGCAGAGCAAAGAGGUUUUUUGAAGAGAAGCAGCAAUGAAGGAAAUUUUGAACGUAAAGGUUUAAGGGGAAGAAGGUGGUGGUACUUAUAAUUUGUUGGUGGCGGUUCAGAUCCUUGGUUACCGACCAUCAACUGACAGGCAUUUAAUGCCUUGGUAACCAAACCGACGGGACAUUUCAGUACCCACUUGUCGUUGAUGUCAUAAUCGGGCUCAUCGCUUAUGUCACGGCACAUCGAAACGGGAUAGGAAAAAUUCACGUCAUUUCUCAUUUUCCUCUCUUUGAGAAAAGAGAGGACUAUGUGUAUAUAGUCAAAACUGAGCUUGCCCUUUUUAUAUGAUUAAUCGAGACCGGGAUGUGGCAGGCCAAAGUUCGAUCCCAUGUCAUACGCACCGUGAUGCGAUAUUAGAUUGCAUAGUUCAUGACCCAGAGACCGAUCGAGAUCAAGAUCAGCUAAGAUAAAGAACGAGUGGGAUAGAGAUCGAGCAAGAUCGAGGAAAUCCUACCGAACCAAAUAACCGAAAGCCAAAAUAUCCGCGAUUGGGCCAGUAUCACAAUGAAGAUCUCGACACGUAUGAAGAAGAUACCGAUUAAUUAGCUAAUCAUGAGAUUUCUUAUUACAUUUAGGAUUGUAUUAAGGGUAGGACUACCCUACUAUAUAAAGGGGGUUUGAUCAUUUGUAAAACACCAUCAUAUUCACAUAAUACAAAGCAAUAUACUGCCAUUAUCUAGUAAUCAUUGUCUUGCUAUUCUGUUCUUAAGCAAGUUGAUACAUAUUUGGUUCAAGGGUGAUCGAACUCGAGGGCCAAGGCUGUUUAAUUUGUUUGGUUUGCAUUUAUUCUUUAAUAUUCUAUUUCAGUACUAAUUUAUUCUUCCUAAUUUGUACCAAGGUAUAUCACACAUCCUUAAAACCACAUAUAAAUUCAACUGUUAUCCGAUUUUAGGGUAAAUAAUAAUAUAGUAAAAUUUUAGGUGAAGUAAAAAUAAUCAUUGCCUAGGAAGUGAGUGAACAUUUAUAUAUUUACAUCCGUUUCAGAUCAUCUUGCUGGCAAUAAUAUAAUUUCCAUGAAAAAAUCAAAAUAAGAACAAAUUAAACUUGCGCACCCUAAUCAAGCUUAUUUUAAAAAGGAUUGAAGCGGUACACAUGAGAGUGCAAUGACUCUUUUACAUGAUAAGUAUGAUUUAACAUUGUGUACGGGUAAAAUUGGGGGCAAGGUUUCUCUGAUUCUCUUAUAAGAAAAUGAUAGGGAAGCACCAUUCGACGCAACUACAGGCAAGGCCGAAGGAUCCCUAAUAUCGAAACUUGGGAUGAGUGAACGAUGUAUCAAGGAUUGGGCAUGACAAAAUAACGGAUCUGGACUGAGUAAAAUUUUGAGACCACAAAAAGGGAGGAAUGGUUGGUCGUGACAAGUAGGGAGUCGUAAUAUCGGGUUUGUGAGUAAAUUCACUAAUUUCAAGUGCCCAUUUGGCCAACCGACCCGUCAACUCGAGUUUGUGAAGGACAUUCUGUAGGGGAAAGGUUUUCACAAUGGAUAUCAGGUGACACUGAAAAAUAAGGCAUAAGCUUUCAAAAGGCGACUAUGAGAGCUAAGUUCAGUUUUUCGAGAUGCGGAUAACGAGUUUCCGCUUCUAAAAUAAUCUUGCUAACAUAAUAGACAGGAGAUUGCAUUCCUUUGUCCUCCCAGACUAGAAUGACACUUACUACUACCUCCGAGAUCGCUAAGUAUAUUACCAAUUGUUUGCCUUCCUCCGACUUUGGUAGCAGCGGAGGGCUUGAUAGAUAACAUUUCAGGUCUUUUAAGGCCUGUUGGAAUUUUGGAGUCCAUUUGAAGUUGUUCUUCUUCUUAAUAAAUGAGAAGAAUUGAUGACAUUUUUUUGAAUAUCGAGAAAUGAAGUUUCUUAGAGCGACCAAUCUCCCUGUUAGCCUUUGUACUUCUUUCACGCUUGUCAGCUUGUCUGGGAUGUCCUCGAUGGAUUUGAUCUUAUAGGGAUUUACCUUGCUCCCUAUUUGUGACACCAGAAAACUCAAGAACAUACCAGAGAUAACCCCGAACGCGCAAUUUUUGGGGUUGAGUUUCAUGUUGUACUUCCUUAGAAUAUCGAAGGUUUCCUGGAGAUGUUUUAAAUUGUCGACUGCAUUCAAAGACUUGACCAACAUAUCAUCUAUGUACACUAUCGUUGUUUUACCUAUUUGUUUCUCGAACAUCUUUUUCACGAGCCUCUGAUAAGUGGCUCUAGCAUUUAUAAGCCCCAAAGGGCAUCACAUUAUAACAAUAUGUGCCAAAGUUCGUUAUGAACGAAUUUUUUUUUCUGAUCCUCCACGUUUAUCUUAAUUUGAUUGUACCCUGAAUAGGCAUCAAGAAAACUCAUUAACUCGUGCCCCACCAUGGCGUCAAUCAUCUGAUCGAUGUUCUCCAGUGGGAACGAGUCUUUCAGGCACGCCUUAUUCAAGUCUUUAUAAUCUACGCACAUUCGAAAUUAUUAUUCUUUUAAGAACUACAACUACAUUAGCUAGACAGAUGAGAUACUUUACCGCUCGGAUUGAACUGAUAUCAAGUAACAUGUUUCUAUCGUCAGCUAUUGGGCGCUUCUUCUGCUUGGGUCCAAGCUUAUCUUGUGCAUGACCACCUUUAACGGGAUGCUUGUCAUAUCCGCGUACGACCACACGAAACAAUUAAUGUUAGUUUUAAGAAAAUCAAUAAAUCUUGACCUAAGGUCGGGGUUGAGUCCUAUCCCCAUGUGAAAUUUCUCUACAGGAAUUUUCGAACAAAGCCACUUGUUCGAGUUCUUCUUGACGUAGACUUUGGUUGUAUCAGUUUCUUCCGAUACAUGAAAAUAUCUUGGUACCUGUUAGAGUUCUGACAACUCCUCCCUUUUGUCAUCUUCACUUGGUUCAGGAGUAGGCGUCAUUUCCUGUAAUUGCUAUGUGUUGAGUUCCUUCCCUUUACUGCUAGAAACCUAUAUCGCGUUCAUUUCCAUUGUUGUCAAUGGAUCUUCUCUUAUUUAUUUUAUUCCCUUUGGAUUCAAGAAUUUUAGCAGUUGGUGAUAUAUUGAUGGUAUGUCCUUCAUCUCAUGUAACCAUGGUCUACCAAGAGUUAAGUUGUAGCCCAUGUCACCGUCUACCACUUCAAAUAAGGUGGUCUUCAUGACCCUUUCGAUAUUCGUGGGCACCAAGAUCUACCCCUAGGUUGUCAUACUCGCUAAGUUGAUCCCGGCUAGGAGAAUUGUUGCCAGAAGAUGCUUCCGGAUUGUCACGACCCAAUUCCCAUUAUAGGUCGUGAUGAUGCCUAACGUCGCUAAUAGGCAAGCCAAUGGUGAACUAUCCAUAUAAUUGUCCUUUUUAAUGUUUUUAAAGUAUUUGAUUAUAUUUAAUAAGAGAAUGAUUAAUAGGUAAUUAUAGUAAAGUAAAGCAUAAAAUAACGGAAGAGUAAUAUAGUGAAUUUAAUACUCAAACCAUAAAAUGUCUACUAGAAUAUUUCCAAAAUCUGGUGUCACGAGUGCAUGAGAAAACUAGUAAAAUACAAAAAAUCUCCUAUACUGUCUAGAGUAAGAUAGACAGAAAAUAAAUACAACAAGGAGAUACUCCGAGCAUUACAGAAUGGGCAUAGUGAGUAGCUUACCACUAAGUCUCUGGUAGCGGGGUACACACCUGAAUGAGCACCAAAUGCACCUACCUCAGAUCCUACACGAUUAGUGCAGAAGUGUAGCAUGAGUACAUAAACUACAUGUACCCAGUAAGUAUUUAGUCUAACCUCGAAGAAGUACUAAUGAGGGGUUGACAUCGACACUUACUAAGGGUCAAUAAAUAAAAUGCAUAAAGUAUAAAUAGGCAGGAAAUACAUCAAUAAUAAUGAAUUAAUAAAAAAUAAAUAAGUGGUUCUUUAACUAAAUAUCCAUUAGAGUCUCGAACUAUCACAUACUAAUCCAACAAAGAAAAGCCAUCGAGUAAUUAUAAAUUCUCAAGUCAUGCAAGAAAUAUCAAGUAUAAUCGGACUCUGAACAUUAUCAUGCAGAGUUUGUACGCCCUAAUCCAGAAUAAUGUGUACAAUGCCGAGGGUCGAUCGACGCAAACCAUUGAUGCAUCUAUUAUACUGACGAGGAAUUCGUGUCAUGACCCAAAUCGAUGGGCCGCAAUAGGUACCUGGUGCCUUGCCCAACUGAGUACCAAUGUAAUGUAUCUUUCUUAUCAUACCAUCAUGGGUAAAUGAGCAGAAGGGCUAUUAUGAGAUCAUGAGAAUAAAACAUAAGGGAAUAAUCAACAUAGAACAACCCAACAUGAUAUACUAUAACGACGCGAACGAUCACUUUGAGAAUUAGCAUCUUGUUCGGUGGCUUAAGGUCUUGAGCAGCUUUGCAUUAUGUGUUAUGACUUGCAGGCUGGUCGAGUUUGGAUUUCAGAUGAUUCGCGGUCAAUUUUGAAGAAGGAAUCUAGUUUUAGAAGUUUAAGAGGUAAGAGUUGACCGUAGUUUUGCUUUUGUGUAAACGACUCCGAAAUGGCAUUUUCUUGAUUCUAAUAUCUUGGUAUGGUGAUUUUUUACUCAGGCAUGCAUCCAGAUUCGGGCUUGGAGGUCUUUAAGAUAUUUUGAAGCAUUUUGGUGAAAAUUGGAAAAGUUUUGGAAGGUCAAGAGGUUUGAUCGGGAGUUGACUUGGUUGAUAUCGGAAUUAGAUUGGAAUUUCUAUAGAUGGAUUAGUUCCUUUACGUCAUUUGGGACUUGCAUGAAAACUUUGAUGGUAUUCCAGGUUGAUUUAAUAUGUUUCGACACUAGUUUUGGUUGUUGGAAGAUUUGAAAAUUUAUAAGUUUGAUCUGUGGUGCAAUUCAUAGUUACGAUGUUGUUUGAUGUUAUUUGAGGUCUUGAAUAGGUCCACAUUAUGUUGUAGGACUCGUUGGUAUAUUUGACGGGGUCUUGAGUGGCUCAGAUGGGUUCGUACGAGUUUCAGGUCAUGUUUGGUCAUGAUGGCAAGUCUGUUUCUGGUUGCACCUGUGUAUUUCUUGAGCGCAGGUGCGAAGUUGCUUCUGGAAAAUGGGUCUCUUCUACAAUAUUUGGCAGGAGUUCAGCUUCUGUGGAAUAGAGAACGUAUUUACAUGGACACAUAUGCGGUGAGCCCAUCGUAGAUACGAGUUUGAGGCUCCAGUUGGUCGUCCGCUUCUGCGGUUUAUUUGGUGCUUCUGCGGCAUUGCAGGUGCGAUGGGAUGCUCGCAGAUGUGAAGAAUGGACUGCUAAGUAAGGGCCGUAGAUGCAAGAUUGUUCUUGCAAAAGCUUGAUCGCAUGAGAGAAAAACAUUGGUCCGCAAAUGCGGAAAAUGCUAGGGAGAAAGGUUAUAUUCGAGGGUUUGUUAUUUUUACCAUAUUUUGAGUUGUAGACUUCGAAUUUGGGCGAUUAUUGAGGGGAUCUUCACGUGGUUGUUUGGGGUAAGUUAUAUUUACCCAGAUUUUAUUUCAUGAUUUAAUGACAUGGGAAUUCAAGAACAUAGGCACCUCUAAUACUUCUAUGGAUAGAGUCAUUUAUGAAAGUUUUGCACUUGGUCAUUUCGUUUGUAUCAUAUGGAUCAUGCCAAAAGGAAAUAAGGGAUAGCCUUAACAUACCUGAGUCAAUUCUCUUGACAAUACCUCUAACACAAAUUGAUUGCAACAAAAAAUGUAGCGGCAGAUCGAAGUAUGGGAAAAUCCAUAUGAUAUUCUUUGAGAAAGAUUGCACUGUACUCCCUUAAAAUUACAAAAUCUCACGUUGUUAAGACACAAUCUCAUAUGAAUUUUUAAAGUAAGUCAUGUUACUAUCACAUAAAUUCUUAUAUGAACUUGCCGAAGCCUCUUACAUCGCCUUAGAGAUAUACAAAGUGAGUUUAGAGAGGUUUUUAAGCCUUUAGGUGUGGGCCCCACAUGGUAUGAUGAUUUGGCCACAAAACUCUCUUAAAAAGUACCACCUUGUUAAGAAAUUUAAGAGUCACAAUUUGGGUCUUUGAUCCUUGUUCCAAGUGCUUCCACAUUGGGCUUAUCCACUCCCAACAAUUAACCACCAACAUCUUAAUUAAUUGUUAGUCCCCCACUAAAAUCACUAAUUACCCGAUUAUUCACAUAAUUAAUUGUAUACUGUGAAAUCGAAGGGUCCAAUUCCUUGCCAUCGAGGCACCUCAGAAGAUCAUCUCGAAGCCUCGAGGUUACAAGGCUAUGAUCAAGUUUUCUCCCUCGAGGUUCAUCGACGCCUGACCAUGGGAUAAUGUCGACCACAACUAUGGUAGAAAUGGGGAGUUCCCAAGGUACAUGGCUAAGACUGACAGAGCCUAGUGGACUACCCUAACCCUGAAUUAGGGUCUCAUUUAGCUGUCCCAUCCCCUUAUCUCUGUAAUUAAUGCAUUUUGUACUAUGUUGGGAUUCCGUUCAUAUAUAAAGGGGAUCCUUAUCAUUUUAGCGAGGCUUGUUGCUUCAGUUGCUCAAUACGAAAUAAACAAGAACAUUCUCUUCGCUCUCUAACACAUUCUCUUGAUAUUGUUUCUUCCAUUUAUUAUUUUCAUUAUUGCUCUUUAUCUAUUGAUUAUCAUUGGCUAUAAAGAGCCUUUGUUGAUUUUAUUAUAAUUGUUAGACAUACUUCGAUCACCUUCGAUAGCUCACAGCCGGGCUCCGGAAUUGACCUCGAGGCCCCUGAAUCGACAAGCUCGAGGCCGGGAUUGUUAACCUAUCGAACUGAUUGUCACCUUACUCCUUACUCUUAUCUCGUUUCUAAACCUCACAUUUAGCAUCAACUGCUUAACAACUAGCAUAAAAAUAGAUCACGUAUUUUUAGAGUCCCAUAAUCAAAUUUAAUGGUUAUUACCAUUUUCAUGAUAAACAGUUUGGUGCCCACCGAGGGGUUAAAAAUAAUAGUGAUUAUUUUCUUGCUGGUUUUACUACAUAAUGCAAGUUAUCUUUCACGCUUUCUCUUGUCCAAGGUCUUCGAUUUCAGGCCGAAAUGUCUAAUUCAGUGAAUGGAGGUGAAAACAACAACCUUGAGGACCACGGAGAAAACGGUGGGGCCAUUCCAGGUGUUGGUAUGCCACCAGAACCAAUACCCAUGGACGCGGUCUCACGCAACACGCAACACAUCGACAUAAGCUCCCACAUUGACAGGAGCGUGCACCAAAGGGAUCAACAAGAGGCUUAGAAAACCCCAACUAAGGAAGAACAAGAGCUUAGCCUUCAUGCUAUUUUUGAAAUGUUGCAGGCACAACAGCUGGCUAUUGCUCAGCUGCAAAGUCACCAGAAAACUCUUAGCACAGUAGCACCGGGGAUAGCUCCCCCAGCUGAACAGGUACCAGAGAGAUCAAGCAAUAACGGGUCGAUGACCGAUCCCGUUAUCGUAAAUAUGCUCGAGGAGCUCACUAGAAGGAUCGAAUCGGGCAAGAAAAUGAUAGAAGCCAACGAUAAAAAGGUCGAGACCUACAACUCCAAGGUCGACAAAAUUCCCGGCGCACCCCCGAUCCUGAAAGGUAUGGAUUCGAAGAAGUUCAUAGAAAGGCUGUUCCCAGAGGAAGCGGCUUCGAAUCCCAUUCCAAAGAAGUUCAGAAUGAUAGACCUCCCAAAAUAUAAUGCAACCUCAGAUCCAAACGAGCACGUUACUGUUUACACUUGCGCAGUGAAGGGCAACGAGAUAAAGGACAACGAGAUCGAGUCCGUCUUACAAAAGAACUUUGGAGAGAUGCUCUCGAAGGGGUCCAUGAUGUGUUAUCACAACCUAGCUCCUAACUCCAUAGACUCAUUCGCCAUGCUGGCACUCUCCUUCACAAAGGCACAUGUCGGUGCCAUCAAAGUGGCAACAAGUAAAUCUAACAUGUUCAAGAUCAAGCAGAGGGAGAAUGAAAUGCUGCGAGAAUUCGUAUCUCGUUUUCAAAUGGAACGGAUGGAACUACCACCAGUCUCUAACAACUGGGCAGUGCAGGCCUUUACUCUAGGUCUGAAUGAAUGAAGCUCGGUGGCUUCAAAGCAGUUGUAACAGAAUUUGGUCGAGUACCCCGCUGUGACCUGCUUGGAUGUCCACAACUGAUACCAGUCGAAGAUCAGGGUCGAAGACGACUAGCUAGGAGCCCCCUCGGGCUUAGUAUAACCAAGUAGGCUUCUAGCGAACGAGCCAAAGCCAAACAAAUAAAGAUACCAUCUAUACGCCGAAGACAGAAUGAACGCCCCGAGGCGCAACUCACCUCGCAACGAUCGAACGAUAGACCGAGGACAGAAUCCUUAGGGACUCACCAACAGAACCGGAUUCGACAGGAAUGCAGGGCCAACGGAGGCACCUCACUUAUCAGAAUACAACUUCAACAUUGAUGUAUCGGACAUCAUGUUCACUAUCAGUAAAAUAAGAAGCCAAGUGGCCCAAGCCUGUACAUUCAGAUCCUUCACAAAGGAAUCAUAACUUAGUGUGUGCAUUUCACAACACACACGGCCAGAGGACCGAGGAUUUCCACCAACUCCAAGAAGAGGUAGCUGGAUACUUAACAAAGGUCACCUCCGAGAAUUCCUCAGCGACGGAGCCAAAAAUCAGUUCUGGGAAAGAGAGGCGGCUAAGAAGAAAGAAACGAAUGAGCCGCAACAUGUCAUCCAUAUGAUCUUGGGAGGCAUCGAUGUCCCACAAGAACCCGUGAUGAGAAGGACAAAAAUAUACAUCACUAGAGAAAAGCAAACCUGGGGGUAUAUACCCGAGGAUGCCCUCACUUUCAGCAAAGAAGACACUGAGACCUUGUCUCAACCCCACAAAGACGCAUUGGUAAUCUCUUUCCUCGUAAAUACAUUUCAAAUAAAAUGUGUACUCGUGGAUCCAGGUAGCUCGACCAAUAUUAUCAGGUCGAGGGUAAUAGAGCAUCUCGGACUGGUUAACCAAAUCGUGCCCGCCACUCGAGUCCUCAACGAAUUCAACAUGGCAAGUAAAACAACGAAAUGAGAAAUCACUCUCCCAGUCAACGUGGACGACACAACCCAGAAUGUCAAAUUUCAUGCCAUCGAAAGAGAUAUGAGGUACAACGCCUUGUUCGGGAGGCCGUGGAUACACUGCAUGAGAGCAGUACCAUCCACCCUCGACCAAAUAAUGAUAUUCCCGACAAAGGAUGGGAUUAAAAGCAUCUACGGGGAGCAACACACGGCGAGAGAACGGUGUACGAUGUGGGGCCAACACCGAUACCUCCACCCGCAAAGGAGCCAAAGGGUAAUCAAGUUACAUCUUCGGUUAAGCCUAAUUAAACAAAACAAAGGAUCGUACUGCAUCCUCGUCACAACCUACUGAGAGAUAUCAGACCCCGAAACAUCGCUGGCAUAUCCCACACUAAGGUAUAACCAUCUCCCUUUUUAUUAUUUAUUUCAUACUAACCCUUAUGCAGGCGCCCAACCGAAGCAGUCAAAGCGCUAACCCAACCCGAAGAUCUUAAGGUUUUAAAGCAUCCGUUGCACUCUUUUCCUUCGACCGAGUUUUUUAUCUCGAAAAGGGUUUUACCGGCAAGGUUUUUAAUGAGGCAACCUUCACAUUCUACCUAAGCACGACUCGACAAGAAUUCAAGGCUUCUUUUGCAACCAACCCCGAAUACUGGGGUGCAUCCCCUCUGAAGGCCAUCCGCUCGAAAAAGGCAAGGAUUGCCAAAUGGGGUCCCAAUAGGAAAAUGAUGUACCGGGCCAUACAGACAAACGAACCGUGUCCGUAUUGCUGGGCCUCGACGGCAAAAACAUGUACACUUGAACAAAGUAACUGAAGAAUAUCUUUUAUCAAAGCAUCUCACACUCCAAAGAAGCUCGGCACCUCGGCACCUUCGCAAAAAUGACUCCCCUGCCGAAAACGUCUUGAACACUCGGGGACUAGCGUCAACAAUUCAAUACCUGAACGACCUCCGGGUCAGGACUCCAAACUCUUAAUCCCUCAAUGAGGCAACAUGAAAAUCACGAAACAUCUCCAAAGGCUGAAAACGCCCCGAACACUUGGGGACUGGUGUCAAAAUCUCAAAAAUGCACGACAUCAAGGUCGGAACCUCCGAAAUUGUAAGCCCUCAAUAAGGCAAUUCAAAGUUUACAAGUAACGACUUCCGAACCAAGAUACCCUCGAUGACUCGGGGACUGUCGCCAAUCACCAUUCAUUAAGAAACCCGAGGCCAUAAGACCCCGAGCGAGCAGACUGGGUCUCGUAAGACCUAUAUAAGGCAGCAACAAUAUCUAUAAGACCUCAAGCAAGGCAUGAACAAUACUUGUACUAAGUAUCUAAAACUGUAAGACCUCAAAGGCAUAUGAAACUUGUAAAAUCUUACUAAAGGCAUAAACCCGAUCUCAAAUUGUCCUCUAUAUAUCGAACUUGUAAGACCCCUAAAAAGGCAUACCCUCGAUAUAGAAGCCGAAAUUACUUCACUCGGGACUUAAAAGCUCCGUCCGAACACAAAUGACUCCAGUCACAAGGUUGUACCAGCCAAACUAACGUGACUCGGGGACGCCCGACCGUCGCUACAAAAUCACAAGCCUUCAAUUAAUUUGAAUCUACUUCAAAAUAAACCGGUUAAAUAGGUUACCCUCGACAUAGGCAAAAGAGCUUCGACCACGUCAGCUCCAAAUCACAUGCUUUGAGAUACUCAGCCUCCGAUCCAAACCUCAUGAGUUGCUCGAUUAUCGCCUCAUAACGACUCAUAAUUGAGGUUUUUAUCGAACUGUCGAAGAGUCAGGCAAAAAAUUAUUUCAAAAAGUCCUUAACGAGGGAAAAAUAAAGUCAAUAAAAGGUCUCUUCAACCUAAGGCGUAAGAGCCAUUGUUGCCAGCCCACACUAAAAGGUUGCUUCGACCCAAGGCGCAAGAGCCAUUGUCUCCAGCCCACACUAAAAGGUCGUAUCGGCCCAAGGCAUAAGAGCCAUUAUCGUCAGCCCGCACAAAUACAAAACUUCAGGGUCGAAUGAGCUCGAGUUGAAACUCGAUUCGGAGACUGAACCCAAAAUAGUUAACUAUAUAUGUCUAAAGGCAAGGCGUAAGAGCCAUUGUUGCUAUCCCACAUAAAAGGUCGCAUCGACCAAGCGUGUAAGAGCCUGCGGGCCAGCCUAAUGAGCCCCAGGGCCAUAUCAUGACUCUAAGGAUUCCUACAAACUCAAAGACUAGUUCACCUGGCCAAAUUCAAGACANNNNNNNNNNNNNNNNNNNNAGACAGAAAGAGAUACAAAAGAAAUAAAGCUGCAAGGUUUUCUUUUAUACACAUAUGCGAAAAAAUGCAAUCUCCAUCUACAAACAUGCUUUGAAAAUAUACAGAUGGGGAAAUCUACGCCCUUGGGAGAAGGCCUCGUUUUUGCCUUCUUCGGCGUCAGACAAAAGUAACCGAGCAUCACGCUCGUCUGCCCUCGCUCGCGCCAACUCUUCUGAAAGGGCGAAACCCCCAGCACGGAUCUCCUCGAGGGUCUUUCUUUGAGACUUAUAACGAACAUAUUCUUCAAUCAUCUCUUUGCGGUCGAGGAUAUUUCUUAGCUCAGCUUGAGUAUCGGUAGCUUCCUUUAAAUAGAUUGUCAUCUCCUGGUCAGCCUUAGUUCGGCUUAUUACAGCUUCAGCCUGGGCAUCAACGAUCUCAGCCCUGACCUUCGAAAGCUCGAACUGAAGCUUUUUAAUCAUAUCAGUUUGAACUGAGCGUUGUCAGGAGCCAAGCAAAGUUGAGCCUCAAAAGCAGGAACUUUAGCCAGAGCACCCUUCCCCUCUAAAGCUUGAGCCUCCGCCCGAGCUUUUAGCUUAUCAUGCUCACGCCUGGCUCAGCCAGCUUCAUCCCAAAGGUGCUCCAUGGCCUCCAUCUUUUUUUACAACUGAAAUAAAUGAAGUGUUAGCCUCAGAAGCUAGAAGGAAGAAUGCACGCUCACCCAGGACAGAAAAUUACCUGCUCCUUCAAGUAGUUCUUAUAAUUCAAGCUCCGGCUCAGCAAAUACCGCAAGUGCACCAACUCGACUUCCUUUUCAUCACAAAGGAGCCUAAGGGAUCUCUCCUCAUCCAGAGCUUUCCACAGCCUGGCUUCACAACGAAGUAGCCCAGACUUAAGCUUGUCGAAGGCCUGCAAAAAAAACCCAAUUAGGGAGGGAAGGCGCGAAGCUCAAAAGGCUUGUGCCGAAACUCACCAUGAAGUGAAGUCGUUGGGCUUCCUCGAAUGCCGAGCGCACAUCUGCCAACCUAGUUACCCCAGCUCUGAAAGGAUCAACUCCGGCCGAGGCACAGUCGCUCGGUGUAUGCGACCCCCGGUUCCUAGUAUCCCUCGAAGUACUGUCGACGGAAAAAGAGGGCGACAGCGGUGGGGAAACCAUCUUUCUAGAAUCAGGAACCACGGACGCGGCAGGAUCGGAUGAUGCUCCCACUCCGGAGCCCCGGUCCCAUUUCGCCUUGCUUUGAGCGCCAUCGCCCUGUAAAACCAUCUCUCGCUUAUUGUUGUAGUUCUUUAGCCCGAAAGCUGGCAACCCUUCCCCCUCUCCAGAAGAGUGUUUCCUCUCCUCGAGAGGCUCCCCGAUGCCUACAAUAGCAAGAUUAAUACGCAUAAAGGGAAAAUGCAACUACAAAUGAAGGAAGGGAAAAGAAAAAAUAGCACAAAACGCACCAUGAUGUUUUGCUUCCCUUCUGCCCCGGGACAAAGCUCGCCACUUGCGCUCAUAAUAGGUCGAGUUGGUUGCCAACUUCCGCACCCAAUCUGGUAGAUCAGGAACAUCGCCCGGCACCUAUGAAACCAGUGCAGAAAAAAAAGGCACGGUUACGAAACCAGCUUUCGCCAUGGACAAAACUGAGAAGGCACAAAAUGCACCACUUAUGUGUAUAGUUCCAUUCAUCAGGGAAUGGCAUAAGCUCCAUAGGGAUAAUGUCAGUGGUACGAACUCGGACGAAGCGAUUCACCCACUCCCAGUUUUCAUCUUCCUCAUCAUCAACAAUGAAGGGCGUGGUCGAUCGGCAUCGCAAGGUUAGCAGACCUCGAUUGUGAAAGAGGUACAGCCUAAUAAGAUGAUUGAGCGUAAGUUCAAGCCCCGUCUUCUCCGCGAAAAAUCUCAUCAUCAACAGUAUUCGCCAAAAUGAUAGAUGGAUUUGAGCCAAGGUAACCUGAUACUUUAAACAGAAGUCAAGCACAACCCUAUCAAGGGGUCCCAGUGUGAAAGGAUACGUGUACACAUUCAAAAACCCAGCGGUGCGAUCCGUGAUGCCCUAAUCUGGGGAAAAUGUCUGUAACACUACUUCUCCCCCCAUCUGCAGUCUUUUCUCACUAACUUAAGGUGCUUUUCUCCUAUCAAAGAAGUAGUCUUCAAGGCAUACUCUCGUUGGUCCUGAAUGCUGGAGGCGGGACUCUCCCAUCUCUGCCGGACAGACCCCGACGUAGCAACCAUGGCUAUGGCAAAAUUAAGAGAACUAAAGCAGGAAUCUGUGCGAGUGCGUUAGUACUGAAGUAAUGAAAGACUUAACGCAGAAAAGGAAGGGUAAUUACUUAGAAUGGUAGGAUCUCCAAAAAAGCAGAAACAACCCUAUAUAUGGAAAGAACAACAUCAUUGCAAGUCCCAAGGUGGUACCAGACCUCGAGGACGUCCACCAAAAAUAAGUUAGGCUCUAAAAAGGCCAACAACAUCAUCGCCAGUCCCAAGGUUGUACCCGAUCAUUUAUAUUAAAUUCAGAGUUAUCACUUGGGAUAAUUUAUGGUGUUCCAAGUCACCGGUUUAAAAUCCCGAAUCAAGGAAGUUGACUCUAUUUACGGUCCGCGAACACAGAAAUUCGGGUAAAGAAUUUUGUUAACGCGGGAGAAGGUGUUAGGCAUACCCGAGUUCCGUGGUUCUAGCACGGUCACUUUGAUCAUACUUGGCUUAUUAAAAUUGUUUAGCUACUAAUUUUAGAACCUGUGUGUGUUUGCCUUUUUUAAUUAAGAAAUUAUCUUUAAACAGGUCACGCGUACGUGUAACCAUUUGUUUGGUGCGUCAAAAAUCAUGCCAUGCGAACUUGUCCAUAAUUAAUAACGCUUUAUUAUUAUUAAAAAAGUUUGGCCAAAGUUGCAUGAACGGAUACUCCGGUUUUGUUAUUAGAAUCAUAAUUAUGUCACGCGAACGUGUACGCAACUAUGAUCGUAUUUUAGACGUGCCUAAAGCAAACUACGAACAUUUGUCAUUUUUAUAUCUACGUUGUAAAAUUAAUACGAGGGUCAUGUAUGAUUAAAUCGUGGAUGACACACCUCAGACUAUAUAAACUAAAUUUUAAUUAGCAGCCUAUUAAAACAAUUUUAUUAUUAAGAAAGUUUGAUCGAAGUUGCGCGAACGCAUACUCCAAAUUAGUUUGUAAAAUCGUAAUUAUGUCACGUGAACGUGUACACAAUCACAAAAGCACUUAUUAAUCAUUAUCAAGAUUGAUGCGCCUAAUUUAGUCAUUAGAAACAUUUCAAUUCAAUCAUCCACACAAACAUAUAAAAUAGACAACCAAGCAAAGAAGACAGAGAUAAUCCAAAGUAAGUGAAAAUACGAAAGUUACGAGUAAUAAAAUAUGAGAACAUAUGACCAGAACUAACAUGUAUUUUGAAGAAGAAGGAUAUUCUUUUUUUUAAAAACUAAUCACUAUGAAAGAACCUUUAAAAUAUGAUUAAGGAAGAGAAAUGUAGUGCCGGGUAUUCCGUUUUGAGAGCUUUAAACUAUUUGUUAAGAGCAAAUUCACAAUUGAGAAAUAAAACCAAGUUUAACUCCAUGAACGAAACAGACUCCGUGGCACUUUAAUUUGAACUCAAGAUUUCACUUAUUGUCCAUCAACUUUCAAGCAAAGCACAAUUUACUCAUCACGCUUAAUGAGGCCAAAUAAACUUUUUUGAAUACAUUCUUCACAUGGAAUUAGACUAGACAAGUAUAGGAAGGAAUAAAAUCUUACCCAAACACAUGUUCCUAAAUAGUCGAGCAACUGGUUCUCAUCACAACAAUACUACGACAAGAAGGGAUCCAAACAAUUUGAAUAGUAAUUCAUUCGGGAACGAACAAUCAGCAACGAAUUUUAGCACAACCCAACUACGAAUUUAAAAUUGAUUGAUUGAAUUUUAAGAAAAGACAGGAGUAAAAUCUGACCUCAGAUCUGAAAUCCAAUAAGAAAAUUGAAACAAUUUCGAGCAAAGAAUCGCGACCAAGACUCAACAAAGGACCUCGACUCUCCAACGAUGACUGACGUUGACAACUACUGCUGCUGGAAUCUCAGAUUCGAUCCCAAAAUAUAUACAAAUCGAAGACGGCGCCAGCAACCUCGAUGGAUCUCGACCAACAAUCAAUGAGAUAUCACCGAAAAUAAAAACUCACGAACAAAAGAUUGACUGAAUGGCUGAACUUCGUGAAGCUGUUAUUUGGUGGUUAUUUCAGAUGCGUUCAUGGUGUUCAACAACAGCUGAUUGCAGGCUGGAAUUGGAGGAGGUCGUCACCGGCGAGAUGAAGAAGAAGAAAGGGGUCAGCGGAGGCGAUGGCUGGUGUUUGGUCGCUGAUACCCUUCGUUGAAGAAGAUGGGUUCCUUGGUUUUUUGUUGAGGAAGAAGCAGAACAGAUCCUUAAGGGUAUUAGGUUUAGGCUGCUUUUUCCAUGAAGGAGAUGAAACCCAGGGUUUUUGGACUCUCAAGCAGAUGAACGAAAAUCUGAUGGGGAUCGUCCUUUUUUUUCCAAAAACGGCGGAUUGGAUUAUUAGGCAUCUAGGUCUUGAGCUAGCUCUAGGUUUUGGGGUCUAGGUAUUUUAGGCUCAUUUUCUGGUUAUAUAGAAAGUUUUUUAGGUUAAGGGGGUAUGGGUUUUGUAUUAUUGGAUCUUAAAAUUGGGAAAAAGACUAAAAAAAAAAUGGACUACAAGAUUAAAAUGGGAUAAACCAACCCAAAACUAACUCUUCCUUCUAAAUAUAUAAUUUAUAAUAUAAAAUAUAAAACUAAUUUUAAUUAAUUAAACAUAAAUUAUAUUAAAACAUUAAACUAUUUUUGUGUUUUCAAGAUUAUAUAAAAAUAAAAAUAAGGUACUAUUUUUUGUAUUUUUU